GGGCAGAAGUGGCAGUGGGGAGGAGAGGUGACUGGGCUUGGAAGCAGAGACUGAGGCAGAAGCAGGGGCGGGGAGGUAACCGCGGGCCCCAAAGAGUGCACAGAUGCUCUGUGCAGGGUCGGCUAGCAUAAUAAUGAUUAAAUGAGCAACAUUUCAUAUAGGGGUGUGCACAAAUAGUUCGGUGCCAAACCGGUUCGCCUCUUACCGGGCCAGUUUGGAGGUUUGGUCCGCAAUUUAACUGAACCAAGCCCGGUUCAGAUGGACAGGUUCAGUGCCAAAUGGGCAGCGGGGGUGGAGGGUGCGAUGAGACAGAUAGUAAAAGGGUCUGCUUACCGCCAACACACUGCUCCCACUGCUGCUUGCACGCACACACACACACACACACACACACACCCCAGUGCAGCCGAUAGCUACAGUGUGUGCACUCUUUCCUCCUUUACCAAGCUACCCACCCAGCAGGGGUAGCUCAGUUCUGGCCUCCACGCAUGCCAGGGUCCCCCAUCCCUGUACUUGUAAAGGGGGAUCCUCACGAGAUUCUGCUUUACAAUUAUGCACAUCGGGUAGAACAGUGGAACAGUCUGCUUCAUGCAGUGGUGGGAACUCUGCUGAAUAUUUUCAAACAGAGGCGUGACAGCCAUAUGUCAGGUAUGCUGGCCAUUUCUUAUACUGAGCAGGGGGUGAAACAGAAGACCUUCAGAGCCCUUCCAGCUCUACAAUUCCAUGAUUCUGUUGCAAUAAACUGGGUGAAUGGCAGCCAUUCCUUUGUAUGGGAGAAAGGAGUGCUCUCAGGGAGACCACUGCAGUGAGGACAAAACUGGCCCUUUGCCUGGAGCAGACCACAUCUUAAUUACAGACCACACAAGUUCUCCAAUAGAACUCAAAAGGAGCCACUGAAAACUGAGCCAGCAUCUACAGAUAAAUAUGGAAUCUUUACUUACUUACUUAUAUCUAUGUAAACCGCUUUAGGAACUGUUUAACAGUGGUAUAUAAAUAUUCAUCAUAUUCACA
Long non-coding RNA from Hemicordylus capensis (graceful crag lizard), 1008 nucleotides. RefSeq lists it as uncharacterized. The record is from RefSeq and is a predicted model, not a curated record. The transcript is spliced from 2 exons. Lineage: Eukaryota; Metazoa; Chordata; Lepidosauria; Squamata; Cordylidae.